RNAcentral lists this ribosomal RNA (274 nucleotides) under uncultured bacterium. RNAcentral's name for it is "partial 16S ribosomal RNA". It matches the Rfam family "Bacterial small subunit ribosomal RNA", at positions 523 to 796 of the family's 1533-position model. The record is from RNAcentral.
AUACGGAGGGUGCAAGCGUUAAUCGGAAUUACUGGGCGUAAAGCGCGCGUAGGCGGUUUAGUAAGUCGGAUGUGAAAGCCCAGGGCUCAACCUUGGAAUUGCAUUCGAUACUGCUUAACUAGAGUGUGGUAGAGGGUAGUGGAAUUUCCGGUGUAGCGGUGAAAUGCGUAGAUAUCGGAAGGAACACCAGUGGCGAAGGCGACUUCCUGGGCCAAUACUGACGCUGAGGUGCGAAAGCGUGGGGAGCAAACAGGAUUAGAUACCCCGGUAGUCC